Molecule: ribosomal RNA, 253 nt
Filed under: uncultured bacterium
Lineage: Bacteria
Description: partial 16S ribosomal RNA
Rfam family: Bacterial small subunit ribosomal RNA
Source: RNAcentral
UACGAAGGGGGCUAGCGUUGUUCGGAAUUACUGGGCGUAAAGCGUGCGCAGGCGGUCUUCCAAGUCAGUGGUGAAAGCCCGGAGCUCAACUCCGGAACUGCCAUUGAAACUGUGAGACUCGAGUACGAGAGAGGUGAGUGGAAUUCCCAGUGUAGAGGUGAAAUUCGUAGAUAUUGGGAAGAACACCGGUGGCGAAGGCGGCUCACUGGCUCGUAACUGACGCUCAGGCACGAAAGCGUGGGGAUCAAACAGG